GUAGAUAUAUGGAAGAACACCAGUGGCGAAGGCGGCUUUCUGGUCUGUUACUGACGCUGAGGCUCGAAAGCAUGGGUAGCGAACAGGAUUAGAUACCCUGGUAGUCCAUGCCGUAAACGAUGAAUACUAGGUGUUGGAGGGUUUCCGCCCUUCAGUGCCGCAGCUAACGCAUUAAGUAUUCCGCCUGGGGAGUACGACCGCAAGGUUGAAACUCAAAGGAAUUGACGGGGGCCCGCACAAGUGGUGGAGCAUGUGGUUUAAUUCGAUGCUACGCGAAGAACCUUACCAGCUCUUGACAUCUUCUGCCAACCCAAGAGAUUGGGCGUUCCCUUCGGGGACAGAAUGACAGGUGGUGCAUGGUUGUCGUCAGCUCGUGUCGUGAGAUGUUGGGUUAAGUCCCGCAACGAGCGCAACCCUUAUUAUUAGUUGCCAGCAUUUAGUUGGGCACUCUAGUGAGACUGCCGGUGAUAAACCGGAGGAAGGUGGGGACGACGUCAAAUCAUCAUGCCCCUUAUGAGCUGGGCUACACACGUGCUACAAUGGAUGGUACAACGAGUCGCGAAACCGCGAGGUCAAGCUAAUCUCUUAAAGCCAUUCUCAGUUCGGAUUGCAGGCUGCAACUCGCCUGCAUGAAGUUGGAAUCACUAGUAAUCGUGGAUCAGCAUGCCACGGUGAAUACGUUCCCGGGCCUUGUACACACCGCCCGUCACACCAUGAGAGUUUGUACACCCAAAG
This 735-nucleotide ribosomal RNA is filed under the name Apilactobacillus kunkeei. RNAcentral describes it as "bacterial SSU rRNA". It matches the Rfam family "Bacterial small subunit ribosomal RNA", at positions 690 to 1426 of the family's 1533-position model. The record is from RNAcentral. Lineage: Bacteria; Bacillati; Bacillota; Bacilli; Lactobacillales; Lactobacillaceae.